RNAcentral lists this long non-coding RNA (1168 nucleotides) under Ananas comosus (pineapple). RNAcentral's name for it is "long non-coding RNA (ACOM_LNC026253)". The record is from RNAcentral. Lineage: Eukaryota; Viridiplantae; Streptophyta; Magnoliopsida; Poales; Bromeliaceae.
UCAAUUAAUUUAGUGUUUGGGGUUUAGGAGUAGAUGAGAUAAGAAGAAUAGUGAGUUAUUAUGAACAGAAAAUAAUAUUUGAUUUGGUUUGGUGGAGUUAGGUGGGGUUAAGUAAUCCUACUUAAAAUGGGAUAUCACGGGUUAGGUGGGGUUAACUAACCCCACCUAUUUUUAUAGGUGUUUGGGAGUAAGUAUGGGGUUAAGGGGUUAUUCCACCCCUUAACCCCAUACCAAACAAGGGCUUCUUAGUAAUUUUCAGGUCAAUCAAGUAUUUAACAAUAACAUUUUUUCAUAUUUAACUUUGAUUUUCGAAAUUUAAAAUCAGAAACAGCUUAAGUGGGUGUUUGGUCUAACUUUUGAAAAAUAAUUUUGAAUCUAAAAUUGAUUUUUGACUCAAUAGAGCAUUUCGCAAUUUCAUUUUCAAAUUUUGAUUCUGAUUUUUAUAAUCAAUUUUAUGAUUUUCGAGAUAAAAAAUCAAAAACAGCUAAAAUCUAAUUCUGGUUUUUAACUCAAAUUUUAAAUUUUUAUUCUGAUUUUAGGUUCAAAUUUUAAAUCUAAAUUCAAAUUUUAAUUUUAAUUUUGAAUUUUGAAUUUUAUAUUUGAAUUUUUUAAUUUCGAAUUUUAAAUUUUGUUAUUAACUUUAAAUUUCAAACCUCAAGUUUUAAAUUUAAAAAUUCAAAAUUUUAUAUUAUAAUAUUAAAACUUAAUAUAAAUUUUAAAUUUUAAAAUUUUAAAAAAUUAUAAGUUUAAAGUUUCAAAUUAUUAGAAUUCAAAAUUUUAAAUUUUAAACUUUAGUUUAGAAUUCUAAAAAAUUUAAAUUUUAUCUAUUGAAUUUUAGAUAUUCAAAUUUUAAUUUUUAAAUUUCAAAAGUCAAAUUUUCGAUUUUUAAAUUUUAAAUUUUUUUAAAACUAAAAUAUCUAAAUUUAAAUUUUGUGAAAACUUAAAAUUUAAAAUUUAUAUGCAAUAUUUGUAGGUAAUAAAUUUAUUAAUUUAUUAAAUUAUUUUUAAAUAAUAUUUUAAUGUUAAUUAAUUAGAUAAAAUAAUUUUAGUUUAAAAUUAUAACUUUUAUUUCCUCUGUACUAAGCUAACUAUUCAAACAUUAUUUAACUUAUUUAUCAGAAUAAUUUAAUUUUUUAUUUAUCUUUUAACUUAUAUCUAUUUUUGAAAU